GCAUAUCAAUAAGCGGAGGAAAAGAAACCAACAGGGAUUACCUCAGUAACGGCGAAGUGAAGCGGUAACAGCUCAAAUUUGAAAGCUAGCUCUUUUAGGGUUCGCAUUGUAAUUUGUAGAAGAUGCUUCGGGUGUGGCCCCGGUCUAAGUUCCUUGGAACAGGACGUCAUAGAGGGUGAGAAUCCCGUAUGUGACUGGGUGCUUUCGCUCAUGUGAAGCUCUUUCGACGAGUCGAGUUGUUUGGGAAUGCAGCUCAAAAUGGGUGGUAAAUUUCAUCUAAAGCUAAAUAUUGGCCAGAGACCGAUAGCGCACAAGUAGAGUGAUCGAAAGAUGAAAAGCACUUUGGAAAGAGAGUUAAACAGUACGUGAAAUUGUUGAAAGGGAAGCGCUUGCAACCAGACUUGCGCGCUGAUGAUCAUCCGGGCUUCUGCCCGGUGCACUCGUCUGCGCUCAGGCCAGCAUCGGUUUCGGUGGUGGGAUAAAGGCCUUGGGAAUGUAGCUUCUUUCGGGGAGUGUUAUAGCCCUCGGUGCAAUGCCGCCUACCGGGACCGAGGACCGCGCUUCGGCUAGGAUGCUGGCGUAAUGGUUGUAAGCGACCCGUCUUGAAACACGGACCAAGGAGUCUAACAUCUAUGCGAGUGUUUGGGUGUCAAACCCAUACGCGUAAUGAAAGUGAACGGAGGUGAGAACCCUUAAGGGUGCAUCAUCGACCGAUCCUGAUGUCUUCGGAUGGAUUUGAGUAAGAGCAUAGCUGUUGGGACCCGAAAGAUGGUGAACUAUGCGUGAAUAGGGUGAAGCCAGAGGAAACUCUGGUGGAGGCUCGCAGCGGUUCUGACGUGCAAAUCGAUCGUCAAAUUUGCGUAUAGGGGCGAAAGACUAAUCGAACCAUCUAGUAGCUGGGUUCCUGCCGA
RNAcentral lists this ribosomal RNA (911 nucleotides) under Cadophora bubakii. RNAcentral's name for it is "partial large subunit ribosomal RNA". It matches the Rfam family "Eukaryotic large subunit ribosomal RNA", at positions 38 to 964 of the family's 3401-position model. The record is from RNAcentral. Lineage: Eukaryota; Fungi; Ascomycota; Leotiomycetes; Helotiales; Ploettnerulaceae.